UCUUGAGAGAAGGCAUAUACCAUCAAUGCCUUGGUAAGGAUCCAAAAAUACCACAAAAGAGAGACCUGAGAGAAUCAUACAAGGAAUUUCUGAGUUUUAUUUGAAAAUCUGCAAAAAACCCCAGAGCUAUAGCUGAUCAAGAAUAAGAGACAUGGCACUUGGCUAGACUGUUCUAUCUUUUAACCACUCAAGACAGAAGUGACAGUUACAAGUCCCAUGGUGUAGGUAAAGUAAGUAAGUUUUAAGUCUUGACAGUUUACUCUAACUCAGAGAUG
This 275-nucleotide long non-coding RNA is filed under the name Sorghum bicolor (sorghum). RNAcentral's name for it is "long non-coding RNA (SBIC_LNC013831)". Lineage: Eukaryota; Viridiplantae; Streptophyta; Magnoliopsida; Poales; Poaceae. The record is from RNAcentral.